CCUUUGCUCAACAAAUCGCCAUUCGAAGCUUACAGACGGAGAUGCUGCUCGUCAGCGUCUCGUGAUAUCUUUUCACGACCCAGGCUUUGGGAGAAAGUCCCCGGACGUCUCCUUUUCGGAGCAUGCGGAAACGCGCCGCCAUAGAAGCACUGCGGCUGACCUCCGCGCCUUGGCCCAGCUGAGGCAUCCUGCCCUGCCUGCUGCUAAAUCCGUCUUCGCGAGACAUUUUUGCCAGCCCUGUUUUCUGCGCCUCUGGCCCCCAUGGAUGAAGAUACGAGUCCGAGCUGGAGGGUGUAGGAGCAGGGCCGCGGCGAUGUCGACUGGAGAUGGAUGGUAGGUGGACGUUAUGGUGUCACGGCUGUGGUAUCGGGUGCAGAGGAUUUGUUGUCGAGGUCGAUAGUUAUGCGAUUGCCCGGCGAAAGCUUGGUUACUCGAUGGGGCCCAUUCUUGAUGCAAAG
This 458-nucleotide RNase MRP RNA is filed under the name Trichoderma harzianum. RNAcentral describes it as "Hypocrea lixii RNase MRP". It matches the Rfam family "RNase MRP". Rfam says of the family: RNase MRP is an enzymatically active ribonucleoprotein with two distinct roles in eukaryotes. In mitochondria it plays a direct role in the initiation of mitochondrial DNA replication. The record is from Rfam by way of RNAcentral. Lineage: Eukaryota; Fungi; Ascomycota; Sordariomycetes; Hypocreales; Hypocreaceae.